Molecule: RNA transcript, 1334 nt
Organism: Helianthus annuus (common sunflower)
Lineage: Eukaryota; Viridiplantae; Streptophyta; Magnoliopsida; Asterales; Asteraceae
Gene name: threonine--tRNA ligase, cytoplasmic-like
Exons: 7
Source: RefSeq, a predicted model, not a curated record
CUCCAGAACCUUUCCUUUUAACAAUUCUCCGCAGAAACCCUAAUGGACGCCACCAUCAUCUCUCUCACCCCUCUUCUGAGAAACCCUAAUGGACGAAUCCAUCAUCCCUGAAACCCUAAUGGACGAAUCCAUACAUGAAAUUCACGGGUACGAAUCCAUCAUCUCUUUCAUUGUUUUGUUUCAUCUUCCUCUUUUCAACUUACAGCAGGUUCGUUUCACAUCCAAUUUCCAAAGGUUCGUUUCGAUUUAGGGUUGGCCGAUUGUCACCGGGUUACAUUGCCUGAUGGGACUGUGAAGGAGCGGAAGAAGUGGGAAACAACUCCGGUCGAUAUAGCGAAGGAGUUAUCGAAGAGUUUGGCUUCAAAUGCUUUGAUUUCUCAGGUGGAUGGUGUGUUGUGGGACAUGUCGAUGUCUUUGGAAGGUGAUUGUCAGCUCAAUAUUUUCACUUUUGAUAUCAAUGAGGGUUGUGAUACGUUUCGUCGUUUUGGCAUUCGAGUGCUCAAAUUCUCGGGCAUGUGAAUUUAGGGGCUCCUUCAUCAUUGCUCUCCUUCUUCUGUCCUCUUUUGUCUUUUUUCAAGGAUCAAUGCAACAGGCUUUAUGGUUAUAGUGGAAACAGAGGAACAAUUAGAAGUGUCCUUUUCAAGACCAUGGGAUCCUUCCCUUAAGGGAAAACUUGCUCAAAAUCCUUCUCUUCGCGUGCUUUAGUUAUUCUUUCUCAAUAUCUUAUUCUUUGUAUGCAGAUGGAAAUGAUUUAUCAACUGCUAUCGGCAAGAAAGAUGUAGAUUGGAGAGAAAGAUGGCUUUUCAACACAUUCUCUUUUCUAAAAAAGGGUUAUUGAUGUCAUCGAGGCAAACACAGAUGAUUUAGUACCUUUGAGUCUUGAUUCAUCUUGAAAAAAACCUCUUAGCUUCUUGAAAAUUUACCGAGCAAAAACAUGUGAUCAAUAAUAAUUCCAGUCACGCUGAGAACUGAUGCGCCUGAAAAUUAGCGAGGACGAAAUGAGAGAUAAAAGGUGUGAAACUCGAGCGACUGAUUUUGUGAAAAACGAUAACAAUGUCAUCAUAAAGCUUGAAAAUGCGGCCAUCGAAUGAUCAAAGUCAGUUGACUCUGCUGUUCUUGGAAAGUACAUUAUAUUGGAGAAAAGAGAAUGAUAAUGAGAACAUUGACACAGCUAUAUGAUUGGUCCGGGAUCAAAUGAUUAUGGCUAGGGUUUAUAUGAGCAUUGCAACAAUGAAUAACAAACAAGACACAAUUAGCAUAUGAACUGCAAAGUCAACCUAAAGAAAGUCAACGUACUUUGGGAGAGGCUACUGCAAAUGCUGAUCUUAAUCACA